This 75-nucleotide transfer RNA is filed under the name Peptococcaceae bacterium. RNAcentral describes it as "tRNA-Gly". It matches the Rfam family "tRNA". Rfam says of the family: Transfer RNA (tRNA) molecules are approximately 80 nucleotides in length. Their secondary structure includes four short double-helical elements and three loops (D, anti-codon, and T loops). Lineage: Bacteria; Bacillati; Bacillota; Clostridia; Eubacteriales; Peptococcaceae. The record is from RNAcentral.
GCGGGUGUAGCUCAACGGUAGAGCAUCAGCUUCCCAAGCUGAGGGUUGCGGGUUCGAUCCCCGUCACCCGCUCCA